UACAGAGGGGGCAAGCGUUGUUCGGAAUUACUGGGCGUAAAGGGCGCGUAGGCGGCCUUCUAAGUCAUGCGUGAAAUCCCCGGGCUCAACCCGGGAACUGCGUCUGAUACUGGAAGGCUUGAAUCCGGGAGAGGGAUGUGGAAUUCCAGGUGUAGCGGUGAAAUGCGUAGAUAUCUGGAGGAACACCGGUGGCGAAGGCGGCAUCCUGGACCGGCAUUGACGCUGAGGCGCGAAAGCCAGGGGAGCAAACGGG
This 253-nucleotide ribosomal RNA is filed under the name uncultured bacterium. RNAcentral describes it as "partial 16S ribosomal RNA". It matches the Rfam family "Bacterial small subunit ribosomal RNA", at positions 524 to 776 of the family's 1533-position model. The record is from RNAcentral.